AGCAGCCGCGGUAAUUCCAGCUCCAAUAGCGUAUAUUAAAGUUGUUGCAGUUAAAAAGCUCGUAGUUGAAUUUCGGGGUCAGUAGGUCGGUCGUGCCACUGGUAUGAACUGGUUUUACUGAUUCCUCCCUCUUGAAGAACUGUAAUGCCAUUAAUUUGGUGUUUGCAGGGAAUCAGGACUGUUACUUUGAAAAAAUUAGAGUGUUUAAAGCAGGCUUUAGCUUGAAUACAUUAGCAUGGAAUAAUGAAAUAGGACGUUUGAUCCUAUUUUGUUGGUUUCUAGGAUUGACGUAAUGAUUAAUAGGGAUAGUUGGGGGCAUUAGUAUUCAAUUGUCAGAGGUGAAAUUCUUGGAUUUAUUGAAGACUAACUACUGCGAAAGCAUUUGCCAAGGAUGUUUUCAUUAAUCAAGAACGAAAGUUAGGGAUCGAAGACGAUCAGAUACCGUCGUAGUCUUAACCAUAAACUAUGCCGACUAGGGAUCGGAUGAUGUUAAUUUUUUAAUGUACUUCAUUCGGCGCCU
RNAcentral lists this ribosomal RNA (520 nucleotides) under uncultured Glomus. Its description in RNAcentral is "SSU rRNA". It matches the Rfam family "Eukaryotic small subunit ribosomal RNA", at positions 569 to 1088 of the family's 1831-position model. Lineage: Eukaryota; Fungi; Glomeromycota; Glomeromycetes; Glomerales; Glomeraceae. The record is from RNAcentral.